AAUCGGCAAAAGCCCAAACAGCGAGUAGACCCCUAAACAUCUAGAGAAACCCAAAUAGAAAGGCAAGCAAUCUAGUGAGACGUAAAGUGAAGUGACAAGGAAAAAGCUGCAACUCCAAAAAAGCUGUUGAAGGACCAAACACAACGCAAUGGCAGUCGCAUCUAACCUCGCCAGUUUCACCUCUCUCUUUGUAAAUUCUCCUCGCACUCUCUCUCCAAACACCAAGUCCUCGCUUUGUUCUAUUUCUCUCAACAACACUCACAGCCUCAGAACCAGCUCAAGCUCAAACCUUAGCACCAAUGGCUCAAGAACACACAGGCCCAUUUCGGUUCAAGCUAUGGCUUCCUCGUUCGGGUCUCGGCUCGAGGAGAGCGUGAAGAAGACGGUGGCUGAGAGCCCAGUUGUUGUUUACUCCAAAACUUGGUGCUCGUACUCGUCUGAAGUCAAGGCGUUGUUCAACAGGCUUGGUGUGCAGCCAUUGGUCAUUGAAUUGGACGAACUGGGUCCCCAAGGGCCACAAGUUCAGAAGGUUCUAGAGAGGCUUACUGGACAACAUACUGUACCAAAUGUUUUCAUUGGGGGCAAACAUAUUGGCGGAUGUACAGAUACAGUGAAGCUAUACCGGAAAGGAGAACUUGAACCUUUGCUGUCAGAAGCUAAUGCCAAAACUACCGAGAGCUAGGCCUUGGAAAUGUUGUCUUGAAGAAUUUGAUCCCCAUGCAGACCUUGGACUUCACAAGAAAACUUGAUGGAAGUUUUGUGGGUCAAAAACGCUGAAGUUUGGGUGUGGUCAAAACCUUAAACUUAUUAAAUGGACAAGGAGAAACUGUGAACUUUAAAGUUAGGAAAAUGCUUCUGGUACUACAGUUUUUACUUCAAUUUCCUUACAAACUUGACGUGGUAGUAUAACUGGUGUGAUUAAGCUCUUAUCUCCAUGCGAAGAGUGAAAAUACCUAAUCAUUUCACUAUUUAUGAUUGUCAUAUCUCUCUUUUUUCUUUGAAUUAGGGGCUUCAUGUAUACGUCAUGUGUACCAUGGGUUGCGCUCCUUUGUGCUUUUUGAAUAUACUUUACUUAUCAAAAAAAAAUUAUGAUUGUCAUGUCAAAUUUGUAAGGGACUUGUAAUAAAAGCUGUAGUACCUCUAGCAGCAGUCUUAAAGUUAUUUAGUUAUUUAUCAUGUCCGUUUUAGCUGGAAAA
This is an RNA transcript of Alnus glutinosa, 1196 nucleotides long. It is a transcript of the gene named glutaredoxin-C5, chloroplastic, with no coding region annotated. The record is from RefSeq and is a predicted model, not a curated record. Lineage: Eukaryota; Viridiplantae; Streptophyta; Magnoliopsida; Fagales; Betulaceae. The transcript has 7 exons.